AUCAGCCUUUCGGGUGCGAUUCUGUGGAGUGUGAGGAGCUUAAACACCUUCAUGUUUUGCAUAUUCGUACUCUUGGGUGUACUUGCCCGUGUGGUUGGUUAACAUCAAUUUUGGUGGUCAUAAAAUGACUGGAGGAAUGUAGCUUCGAUCUUGUAUUGAAGUGUUAUAGCCUUCGGUAGAUGUGAUGAUCGAGAUUGAGGAUUGCAACGGAUACCCUUCGGGGCUACCUGUCUGGUCUCUGAUCGUUGCUCUGGUGCCGAAAGCUUGCUUACGGUUAUCAAAGUCGAUGGUCAAUAGGUUAGAAUGGGUUAAAUUCGUUAAGGAUGUUGACGUAAUGGCUUU
This 342-nucleotide ribosomal RNA is filed under the name uncultured Glomeromycotina. RNAcentral's name for it is "eukaryotic LSU rRNA". The record is from RNAcentral. Lineage: Eukaryota; Fungi; Glomeromycota.